AGGUCAAGCUACAAAGGGCGCAUGGUGAAUGCCUUGGCAUCAGGAGCCGAUGAAGGACGCGAUAAGCUGCGAUAAGCUUCGGGUAGACGCACAUAGUCAGAGAUCCGAAGAUUUCCGAAUGAGGAAACUCACAUGGGAAACCCCAUGUAUCGUAAAGUGAAUACAUAGCUUUAUGAAGGUAAACCCAGGGAACUGAAACAUCUAAGUACCUGGAGGAAGAGAAAGAAAAAUCGAUUUUCUUAGUAGCGGCGAGCGAAAGGGAAAGAGCCCAAACCAAAGAUUUAUCUUUGGGGUUGCGGACAGAACAUUAACGAGAAAUUAUGGUUAACCGAACACAACUGGAAAGUUGGACCGUAGGGGGUAAUAGUCCUGUAGGUGAAAAUUAUAAUUAUCAAGUUCUGAUCCAGAGUACCACGAGACACGUGAAACCUUGUGGGAAGCAGGGAGGACCACCUCCCAAGGCUAAAUACUACCUGAUGACCGAUAGUGAAGCAGUACCGUGAGGGAAAGGUGAAAAGAACCCCGGGAGGGGAGUGAAAUAGAACCUGAAACCAUGUGCCUACAACCGAUCAAAGCACCUUAUGUGUGUGAUGAUGUGCUUUUUGUAGAACGAGCCAACGAGUUACGGUAUGUAGCAAGGUUAAGUACUUAAGGUACGGAGCCGAAGGGAAACCGAGUCUUAAUAGGGCGACUAGUUGCAUGCUGUAGACCCGAAACCGGGUGACCUAUCCAUGGCCAGGUUGAAGCGAGGGUAAAACCUCGUGGAGGACCGAACCACGUUGCUGUUGAAAAAGCAUGGGAUGAGCUGUGGAUAGCGGAGAAAUUCCAAUCGAACUCGGAUAUAGCUGGUUCUCCUCGAAAUAGCUUUAGGGCUAGCGUCGGAAAAUGUGAGUACUGGGGGUAGAGCACUGAAUGGGCUAGGGGGCAUAGCGCUUACCGAACCUUAUCAAACUCCGAAUACCAGAUACUAUCAGUCCGGCAGUCAGACUGCGAAAGAUAAGUUCCGUAGUCAAAAGGGAAACAGCCCAGAUCGUCAGCUAAGGUCCCAAAGUGUAAGUUAAGUGGAAAAGGAUGUGGGAUUUCUAAGACAACUAGGAUGUUGGCUUAGAAGCAGCCACUCAUUAAAAGAGUGCGUAAUAGCUCACUAGUCAAGAGAUCCUGCGCCGAAAAUGUCCGGGGCUCAAACUUACCACCGAAGCUACGGGUUCACACAUUAGUGUGAGCGGUAGAGGAGCGUCGUAAUCGGGCUGAAGUCGUACCGUAAGGAGCGGUGGACUGAUUACGAGUGAGAAUGUUGGCAUUAGUAGCGAGAUGUGGGUGAGAAUCCCACAGGCCGAAUACCUAAGGUUUCCUCAGGAAGGUUCGUCCGCUGAGGGUUAGUCGGGACCUAAGCUGAGGCCGAAAGGCGUAAGCGAUGGACAAUCGGUUGAUAUUCCGAUACCACUAUUAUCGUUAUUAUCGAUGGUGUGACGGAGAAGGAUAGGAUGUGCUAGCUAUUGGAUGCUAGUCUAAGCGUUUAGGGAGUUAGAAUAGGCAAAUCCGUUCUAACAAUUCUGAGGCGUGAUGGGGAAGGUUCUAAGGAACCGAAGUAUCUGAUUCCAUGCUUCCAAGAAAAGCAUCUAGAAAGAGAAAUAGUGCCCGUACCGCAAACCGACACAGGUAGGUGAGGAGAGAAUCCUAAGGCCGGCGGAAGAAUUGCAGUUAAGGAACUAGGCAAAUUGACCCCGUAACUUCGGGAGAAGGGGUGCCUGCGAGAGCAGGCCGCAGAGAAUAGGCACAAGCAACUGUUUAACAAAAACACAGGUCUCUGCUAAAGCGAAAGCUGAUGUAUAGGGGCUGACGCCUGCCCGGUGCUGGAAGGUUAAGGGGAACACUUAGCGUAAGCGAAGGUGUGAACUUAAGCCCCAGUAAACGGCGGCCGUAACUAUAACGGUCCUAAGGUAGCGAAAUUCCUUGUCAGGUAAGUUCUGACCCGCACGAAUGGCGUAAUGACUUGUGCACUGUCUCAACUGCAAAUCCGGCGAAGUUGUAGUGCGAGUGAAGAUGCUCGCUACCCGCGAUUGGACGGAAAGACCCCGUAGAGCUUUACUGUAGCUUAGCAUUGAAUUUCGGUAUUGUCUGUACAGGAUAGGUGGGAGACUGGGAAAUCAGAGCGUCAGCUUUGAUGGAGUCAUCCUUGGGAUACCACCCUGAUAGUACUGGAAUUCUAACUGGAUGCCA
This 2220-nucleotide ribosomal RNA is filed under the name Clostridium botulinum. RNAcentral's name for it is "partial 23S ribosomal RNA". It matches the Rfam family "Bacterial large subunit ribosomal RNA", at positions 1 to 2235 of the family's 2925-position model. The record is from RNAcentral. Lineage: Bacteria; Bacillati; Bacillota; Clostridia; Eubacteriales; Clostridiaceae.